CCUUAGUGUUGUCAUCCGGAUUGCUCCUCCUGUCGCCAAACUCCUCGUCCAGGUCCAUAAAGCUCUUCCAGGUUCUACCAUCUCGUCCAUCACAAAGGAGGAGUGUUGAGAUUGUAGUGUCGCACCCGUAGGUAGAAUAUACGGGAAUCGUCGGUGGUAGUAUUUAGAGGUAUGUUAUGAUGUGCUUAGUGGAAAUGAAUUGUAGAUACCUGGAUGAAAUAAAAGGAACAGCAGUUGCUAGUUGAGUUAUCAGUCAGUAGCUGUCUGCAGAGGAAUGGA
Molecule: long non-coding RNA, 279 nt
Organism: Aedes aegypti (yellow fever mosquito)
Lineage: Eukaryota; Metazoa; Arthropoda; Insecta; Diptera; Culicidae
Exons: 2
Source: RefSeq, a predicted model, not a curated record